Molecule: ribosomal RNA, 498 nt
Filed under: uncultured bacterium
Lineage: Bacteria
Description: partial 16S ribosomal RNA
Rfam family: Bacterial small subunit ribosomal RNA
Source: RNAcentral
AGCGAACGCUGGCGGCGUGCCUAACACAUGCAAGUCGAACGUGAAAAGGGAAACCUGAGUAAAGUGGCGUACGGGUGAGUAACGCGUAGGUAAUCUACCCCAGAAUCUGGAAUAACCUGCCGAAAGGCGGGCUAAUACUGGAUAGAGCGAGGGAACUCGUAAGAGAGUUUUUCGGGAAAGGGAGCCCGCAAGGGCCUUCGUUCUGGGAUGAGCCUGCGUCUCAUUAGCUAGUUGGUAAGGUAACGGCUUACCAAGGCGAUGAUGAGUAGCUGGUCUGAGAGGAUGAUCAGCCACACUGGAACUGAAAAACGGGCCAGACUCCUACGGGAGGCAGCAGGGGGGAAUCUUGCGCAAGGGACGAAAGGCUGACGCAGCCACGCCGCGGGAGGGAAGAAGGCCUUCGGGUUGGAAAGCUCUGUCGGAUGGGACGAACAUCUUCAUAGUGAAUAGCUAUGAGGACUGACGGUACCAUCAAAGGAAGCACCGGCUAACUCCGUG